UUACAUACUUCUAGUUACUAUUAUUGCAAAGUAAUUCUGAUCUUUGUGAGUCAAGAAUAGAAUCACAGAAUGGUAGAAUUUGGAAGGGGCCUCUGGAUCUCAUCUGGUCCAAACAUCAUUGCUAGCAGAAGAACAUAGUGGUUCUAAGGAUUCUGGAAUUUAAUUGGAUUUAAGAAUAUACACUGUAACACGUACCUUCAUUUUUAAAUGAAUUUGUGCAGCCACUGAAAGCAGCCAAGACCCAUUUCAACCUGAGAAGUGCAAAGCCCAGAAAGCAACACACGCUGCAGCAGUUUAUCCAUACUGAAAGAUGCCAAGCACGUCAGUAACAGACACCACAGCAAAGGCCCUGUACACCAGAUGACCCAAACCAGGAGCAGGCUUCCACCCAGGCAACAUAUCCUGAUCUUGUUAAAUAAGGUUAUGAGGUUCUCAAAGUGACCCAGCUUCUCCUCUGCCUGGUCAGAUGCCUCCCAGUCAGAUCAGAGGCAGGAGAGUGUAACAGCAGGGAAAUGAAGAAGUGUGUGCUUCCCUUGCUCAAAUAAGUGUCAGCAUCCCCACUCUUUGAGGCACAGUUCUGUUGUUAAGACAGAAAUACACAAACAAACAGCCAAAUAAAUAAAUAAAUAAAAAGCACUAUUUACUGAAUCAAAGUGAUCUAGUGAUAUUGCCUACAACCUCAAGCCGGUGUAAUCUCCAAACCAAGCAUGAAGCUGCCUC
Coturnix japonica (Japanese quail) is the source of this 720-nucleotide long non-coding RNA. RefSeq lists it as uncharacterized. NCBI's taxonomy places the organism in Eukaryota, Metazoa, Chordata, Aves, Galliformes, Phasianidae. The record is from RefSeq and is a predicted model, not a curated record.